RNAcentral lists this small nucleolar RNA (101 nucleotides) under Macaca fascicularis (crab-eating macaque). Its description in RNAcentral is "Small nucleolar RNA SNORA1 (ENSMFAG00000050174.1)". It matches the Rfam family "Small nucleolar RNA SNORA1". From Rfam's summary of the family: ACA1 is a member of the H/ACA class of snoRNA that guide the sites of modification of uridines to pseudouridines. Lineage: Eukaryota; Metazoa; Chordata; Mammalia; Primates; Cercopithecidae. The record is from Rfam by way of RNAcentral.
AACCUCAUUCUAGAUGAGAAUGGGCAUUGUUGAUCAUGGCGUCCAAAAAUAGUUAAUGUGGCUAAACUGUUGCAGUGGUGACAAUGAGACCUGUAACAUUU